RNAcentral lists this ribosomal RNA (306 nucleotides) under uncultured bacterium. RNAcentral describes it as "bacterial SSU rRNA". It matches the Rfam family "Bacterial small subunit ribosomal RNA", at positions 28 to 334 of the family's 1533-position model. The record is from RNAcentral.
GACGAACGCUGGCGGCGUGCCUAACACAUGCAAGUCGAACGGGGUAAUUACUUCGGUGAUCACUUAGUGGCGAACGGGUGAGUAACGCGUGAGAAACCUGCCUUUCAGUGGGGGACAACAGUUGGAAACGACUGCUAAUACCGCAUAAUGUUAUUUGAGGGCAUCCUCGAAUAACCAAAGCUUUAUGUGCUGAAAGAUGGUCUCGCGUCUGAUUAGCUAGUUGGUGAGGUAACGGCUCACCAAGGCGACGAUCAGUAGCCGGUCUGAGAGGAUGAACGGCCACAUUGGGACUGAGAUACGGCCCAG